CAUCACCCGGGUAAGAGCCCCUCCCUCUGCCACCAUCACCCGGAUCCAGGCGGUGAGCGACGUGUCGGAGCUUCACGCCGUCCUCGCCUCCUGCUCCGAUCACCUGACCCUCUGCGGCUGCAACCGGCCAAUCGGGAGCCUGGAGGAGCGCGAGGCGUUGGUGGACGACCUCAUCGCCUUCACCAUGAUCACACGUAUGCAGCUGCCGCUCCAGAGGUUCCGUGAGGGUCUGCAGACUCUGGGGGUGUUUGAGCAGGUCCAGCUCUUUCCCUCCGUGUUCUGCCCGGUCUUCACAGCAGAGGGCGCUCAGGAGCUCACGGCGGCUCCUGCCCAGGACCCGGAGCUCCAGGCCGGGCAUGAAGAUCCAGAGGAGCCUGAGGACCCCGCCCCCUCAAGCUCCGCCCCUGCAAGCCCCGCCCAGGGGACCCCGCCCCCUCAAGCCCUGCUCCAGAAGAUCCCGCCCCCUCAAGUCCUGCCCCAGAAGAUCUAGCCCCCUCGAGCCCUGCCCCAGAGGACCCAGCCCUCUCAAGCCCCGCCCCGAGGACUCAGCCCUCUCAAGCCCCGCCCCAGAGGACCCCGCCCUCUAAUAAAGCGUCCGUCCCUGUUAAACUAAAGCAUUAAAGUGAAACUCCUCGUUUUAUCGUAGCGCGUUUUAAACGUUUAGCUUCUGUUUCUCGUUCUGGACUUUUCUUUUUCCUUUGUUUCCUUUAUAUUCUCAUGUUUAUGCUGCAAUUUGUAACUUUGUAACUUUGUAACUUUGUAACUCUAACGAAUCAUGAUCCUGAGUUUGGAAAAUGAAGAGAUUUCCAAAACACCAAACCAUUUGUUUUUCACAUUUACAGACGUGUUUAUGACGAAAUGUGAAUAAACGACAUUCACCAG
This is a long non-coding RNA of Neogobius melanostomus (round goby), 882 nucleotides long. Lineage: Eukaryota; Metazoa; Chordata; Actinopteri; Gobiiformes; Gobiidae. The record is from Ensembl.